ACUACGGGUGGCAGCAGUGGGGAAUAUUGCGCAAUGGGCGAAAGCCUGACGCAGCGACGCCGCGUGAGGGAUGAAGGUCUUCGGAUCGUAAACCUCUGUCAGCAGGGAAGAACGGUCACUGUGCUAAUCAGCAGUGAAUUGACGGUACCUGCACAGGAAGCACCGGCUAACUCCGUGCCAGCAGCCGCGGUAAUACGGAGGGUGCGAGCGUUAAUCGGAAAUACUGGGCGUAAAGCGCUCGUAGGCGGUAUGUCAAGUCAAGGGUGAAAUCCGCGCGCUCAACGUGGGAACUGCGUUUGAAACUGGCAAACUGGAGUGGGUGAGAGGAUAGUGGAAUUCCAGGUGUAGGAGUGAAAUCCGUAGAUAUCUGGAGGAACAUUAGUGGCGAAGGAGACUAUCUGGAACAUAACUGACGCUGAGGAGCGAAAGCGUGGGGAGCAAAAAGGAUUAGAUACCCCAGUAGUC
This 465-nucleotide ribosomal RNA is filed under the name uncultured bacterium. Its description in RNAcentral is "partial 16S ribosomal RNA". It matches the Rfam family "Bacterial small subunit ribosomal RNA", at positions 338 to 795 of the family's 1533-position model. The record is from RNAcentral.